Molecule: unclassified non-coding RNA, 215 nt
Filed under: Ascomycota sp.
Lineage: Eukaryota; Fungi; Ascomycota
Description: partial contains small subunit ribosomal RNA, internal transcribed spacer 1, and 5.8S ribosomal RNA
Rfam family: Eukaryotic small subunit ribosomal RNA (bases 1-47)
Source: RNAcentral
AAAGUCGUAACAAGGUCUCCGUUGGUGAACCAGCGGAGGGAUCAUUACCGAGUUUUCAACUCCCAAACCCCAUGUGAACUUACCACACCGUUGCUUCGGCGCGCGGCUCGCCGCCGCCGAGGACGUUAAACUCUGUCUUGUAUAAGCAUUUCUGAGUGGCCGAAAGGCAAAAAACAAAUGAAUCAAAACUUUCAACAACGGAUCUCUUGGUUCUG